UGAGAACCUGGCCGGGUUAAAGUUAACUUUGAACGCCUGUUGUGCUGGUUCCGCAGCGGUCCACUGAAACUUAAGAGGUUUAAGAGUUAAGAGGUGUUGGCUAGCUAACCUGUGGUUAAUGGUAGUUAGCGUUAAGUCUCCAGCCCUGUGAUGUCUCCUUUCUGUUUCUUUAGGAGUUAGAGGCCAGUGUUAUUGCUGCUGCACAAGGCCUGAUAAACGCGCUAAGGCAAAACAUUCAGCAGCAUCACAUACCAGCACAGCAGAAUCCAGUGCAGUCACAUGAGCACCAGAGUCGACAAGCACAAACAACAUAACAAACUGUGCAGGACGAGAUGGCCAGAUAAAUGAAAUUCUCAUUGAAGAAUAUCCCAAAAUGGAGGGGGUGGAUGGAAGCCAUGUUCUACAAGGCUUCAGGUGGCCACGGUAGAAGAAAAUUGCUUGCCAUUCCUCCUGAUGUAGACGGUUAUACGGUAGACUGAUUCGCAGUGUUUCGGGUGCUUGGAACACGACCAUGUACAUUGUUCCACUGCAGCAGGACCUUGAUCUUACUCCACUGCCAUCGGAUGCCACUGAAUUUCAAAAAAUGCCAAGGGCUGCAUGCCAAGUGUGCAAAGAAAACAUGCCUCUGCAUAUCCUAGCAUUGCACAUCGAGGGUUGUAUGGAGUCUGCAGCAGAUGAUGAUGACGUCAGAAUGAAGACCAGCAAAUGUGUGAGCCUCUGACCCAAGAGGAGCUGCUAAGUCAAGAAGGGCACUGGAAUCGACAGUGAUGCAGUGGUUAACUGGACAAAGGCACAAGCCCUUUCUCCCAUCAGAGAGGGCAGAUUUUAAAAUAAAUCUAAGAUUUGAACACCACUUUAAUGAAAAAAUGCCUGGUCACCACAUUUGUUUCCCACUUGUAAGUGCCUGCACAAUACAAUAACUAUUCCUGUUGAACAUAUGAAAACAUACAAGGAGUUCAGAGAUAUAAUAAUAAUAAACAGUAGCAAUCAGAAUGGGUAGAGUCUUCGGGUGAGUGUAGAGGUCAUGUUUGUUGUGAAUUUUUUUGGCAUUUCUAAUGGCAUUUUUGUUAAAUCUGUUCAGUGAGCUUUUUAUUAUCCUGUGAGAGUCUUAAAAAAAGACAGCUAGCACAAGUCAAACCAUAAAAAUAGCUCAACAUUAGUAUUUGGUUCUCCCACUGCAUUGUUUUUUUUGCGACCACUACUAACAAUUUAUUUGAAAAAGGGUAAUUUAAGAACUCUGUAUUUGCAUUUUUUUUUUACAGAGCACUGACAAAUGUACAUGUAAUGUAAAACCUUGAUAUGUUCCUCAAUUCAGCGUUACUUGUACUAUUGAAAAGUUGAAUGUGUAUGUCUUCCACAUACACAUUAGUUUCAACACGUGUAUGGCAAAUUCAUGUCAUUCAAGUGGAAUCAACUUUGUUUGGGUUUACAUUUACUAAAUUGUCAGCAAAAAUUGACACCAAAAACUUGGUUGAUGU
Molecule: long non-coding RNA, 1478 nt
Organism: Micropterus dolomieu (smallmouth bass)
Lineage: Eukaryota; Metazoa; Chordata; Actinopteri; Centrarchiformes; Centrarchidae
Exons: 4
Source: RefSeq, a predicted model, not a curated record